CAGCCGUAAACAAUGUGCGUUAGGUGUGUCGGUAACCACGCGUUACUGAUGCGCCGAAGAGAAAUCGUGAAACGCACCACCUGGGAAGUACGGUCGCAAGGCUGAAACUUAAAGGAAUUGGCGGGGGGAGCACCACGACGGGUGGAGCCUGCGGUUUAAUUGGACUCAACGCCGGAAAUCUCACCGGAUAGGACAGACAUAUGAUAGUCGGGCUGAAGACUCUACUUGAUGAUCUGAGAGGAGGUGCAUGGCGUCAGUGACU
Molecule: ribosomal RNA, 262 nt
Filed under: uncultured archaeon
Lineage: Archaea
Description: partial 16S ribosomal RNA
Rfam family: Archaeal small subunit ribosomal RNA
Source: RNAcentral